Molecule: ribosomal RNA, 591 nt
Filed under: Salmonella enterica subsp. enterica serovar Weltevreden
Lineage: Bacteria; Pseudomonadati; Pseudomonadota; Gammaproteobacteria; Enterobacterales; Enterobacteriaceae
Description: partial 23S ribosomal RNA
Rfam family: Bacterial large subunit ribosomal RNA
Source: RNAcentral
GUGGGUAGUUUGACUGGGGCGGUCUCCUCCUAAAGAGUAACGGAGGAGCACGAAGGUUGGCUAAUCCUGGUCGGACAUCAGGAGGUUAGUGCAAUGGCAUAAGCCAGCUUGACUGCGAGCGUGACGGCGCGAGCAGGUGCGAAAGCAGGUCAUAGUGAUCCGGUGGUUCUGAAUGGAAGGGCCAUCGCUCAACGGAUAAAAGGUACUCCGGGGAUAACAGGCUGAUACCGCCCAAGAGUUCAUAUCGACGGCGGUGUUUGGCACCUCGAUGUCGGCUCAUCACAUCCUGGGGCUGAAGUAGGUCCCAAGGGUAUGGCUGUUCGCCAUUUAAAGUGGUACGCGAGCUGGGUUUAGAACGUCGUGAGACAGUUCGGUCCCUAUCUGCCGUGGGCGCUGGAGAACUGAGGGGGGCUGCUCCUAGUACGAGAGGACCGGAGUGGACGCAUCACUGGUGUUCGGGUUGUCAUGCCAAUGGCACUGCCCGGUAGCUAAAUGCGGAAGAGAUAAGUGCUGAAAGCAUCUAAGUACGAAACUUGCCCCGAGAUGAGUUCUCCCUGAGACUUUAGGUCUCCUGAAGGAACGUUGAAGACG